ACUGCAAAUGCCUACAUUUCAAGGAACAUUAUGAGAAAGCAAUUGAAAUGAAACCUAAAGAUGCUAUCUCAAUUUACCUGAUAAGUAUUUGGAGCUAUGCAUUUGCUGAAAUUCCUUGGUAUCAAAGAACUGCUAAAAUGCUGUUUGCACCUCCUCCUAGUUCCAUCUAUGAGGAGGCCUUGGGCUACUUUCACAGGGAGAACAGGUGGAUUCAAACUUCUGCAGCAAAAACUUGCUUCUUUUAGGAAAGACAUACUUGAAGUUAAAAAACAAAAAAGCUAGCUGCUUUCUGGUUAAUGAAAGCCAAGACUAUUCAGUACACAUAGAGGAAGAUAAACAAAUGCAGACAGAAGCUGCUCAGUUGCUUACAGGUUUGUGAAAAAAAAAAAAAUGAGACCCUUUUCAGAGAAGAAAAUGCAUGACAUAACCAGUAAACUUUGC
Molecule: long non-coding RNA, 441 nt
Filed under: Marmota monax (woodchuck)
Lineage: Eukaryota; Metazoa; Chordata; Mammalia; Rodentia; Sciuridae
Source: RNAcentral